Scophthalmus maximus (turbot) is the source of this 1014-nucleotide long non-coding RNA. RefSeq lists it as uncharacterized. Lineage: Eukaryota; Metazoa; Chordata; Actinopteri; Pleuronectiformes; Scophthalmidae. The transcript is spliced from 4 exons. The record is from RefSeq and is a predicted model, not a curated record.
CCCCCUCCUGCCGGCCACUCCCUCCUCAUCAGCUCAACUCCACUCACCUGUUCACCACAGCUGCAGCGGAGCACUCAUCAGUUCGGUAUAUAUACUUCUCUCCACCAUGCACUCAUCGCCAGAUUGUUCUUUGUCAUCCGUACAAGUCUCUCCAGCAUUUCCCGGACGGAUUCCCCGGUAUCGACCCCGCCUGUCCCCGACCUGUCUGCUCUUUCUGCCCCGGUGAUCAACCCAGCCUUCCGCCCCCGACAACGGACUCUGCCUGCUUCCCCGCCUGUGGUGCCGUCCCCCUUCACAGGGCGGACACGCUCCCACGGCGUGUCCGCCCUGGGCACUCCGUGCUCUCCCACGAAGCAAGUUUGUUCCACGGUCCAAACGUUUGCCGCUUAGACGACAUUUGAGCUUCAGCAAAAGGCCCAACUAUGAGUGGCUUCAACAUGCAUCGCCUACAUGACUUCGCUAAGGACUGAAUUGUGAGGAGUUUGACCGUUUUACCACUAAGGACCUCUUAGACAAAUACUCUCCUCGACUGAUAGAACCCUACUGUGCCAGGAAGGGAGCCUUUGGUCAAAACAUGGAAACCCUCUUGGAAAGGCUUGAUGAACAGGUUCCUUCUGCUGGCCUGGCCCCUCCCUACUCGUUGAUUGAUUGAAUUCACCUGCUUGGGGCCUCCUUAUAUUCACAGUCUCUUGCUGUGUCCCAAUUCGGGGGCUGUCUCCUUCGAGGACGUAACCAACGCGGCCGAUGGAGGUGAUACUCCUUCGUCGGCCAGGUAGACCGCGACGGGCGAACCAAAAGGAGUCUGUUUACGGUAGAUUUCCUUCUUCUUCUUCCUGUUACACUGGCGAGUGGCAUUAUCGCCACCAACUCAUUUAAUUAGGUAUUACAUAUAUCCUUGAGAGGAGAGCAUGGCUAAAAUACACUGGUUAUUCGUUAUAAUAUUAAUUAACAACGUUUUAUUAAUGAAUGGUUUAUUUCAUUUCACUUUGAUGAUAUAAUUCCAUAUCUAAUAUU